RNAcentral lists this unclassified non-coding RNA (258 nucleotides) under Hevea brasiliensis (rubber tree). The record is from RNAcentral. Lineage: Eukaryota; Viridiplantae; Streptophyta; Magnoliopsida; Malpighiales; Euphorbiaceae.
UAGCAAACCAUUGGCAACAAAGAAAGCCACCUUGCAACAACAAACCCAGAAGAAAUAGUUUCAUUGUCCUCAAUAUGGCUUUCUUUGUUGCCAAUGGUUUGCUAGAUAUUUUCUUAAAUACCAAACCGAUAGAAACACCGACACCAAAGAGGAAAAAUGGCAUCACGAAAUCUGCUAGUGUCACGCCAAGCCAUGGCGAGUGAUUAAUGGAAGGCAAAGCGCCUCCGGCAUCAUCAACUAAAAUCAUGAGCGCGACUG